UCCUCGCUGGUGCAAUGGUUAGCAUAUGCCUCUUUCAUUGGGUGACCAAUGUUCAGGCAAGACCAGGGUUCAAUUCCCUGGCGGGGAA
Molecule: non-coding RNA, 88 nt
Organism: Cutaneotrichosporon oleaginosum
Lineage: Eukaryota; Fungi; Basidiomycota; Tremellomycetes; Trichosporonales; Trichosporonaceae
Source: the annotation of a RefSeq genome assembly